CGAAGGGCGUAGCGUUGCUCGGAAUUACUGGGCGUAAAGGGAGCGUAGGCGGACAUUUAAGUCAGGGUGAAAUCCCGGGCGUCAACCUCGGAAUUGCCUUUGAUACUGGGUGUCUUGAGUAUGAGAGAGGUGUGUGGAACUCCGAGUGUAGAGGUGAAAUUCGUAGAUAUUCGGAAGAACACCAGUGGCGAAGGCGACACACUGGCUCAUUACUGACGCUGAGGCUCGAAAGCGUGGGAGCAAACAGGAUU
RNAcentral lists this ribosomal RNA (251 nucleotides) under uncultured bacterium. Its description in RNAcentral is "partial 16S ribosomal RNA". It matches the Rfam family "Bacterial small subunit ribosomal RNA", at positions 526 to 779 of the family's 1533-position model. The record is from RNAcentral.